Molecule: ribosomal RNA, 216 nt
Filed under: uncultured bacterium
Lineage: Bacteria
Description: partial 16S ribosomal RNA
Rfam family: Bacterial small subunit ribosomal RNA
Source: RNAcentral
GUCUCAGUUCGGAUUGAAGGCUGAAAUUCGCCUUCAUGAAGCCGGAAUUGCUAGUAAUGGCAGGUCAGCAUACUGCCGUGAAUACGUUCCCGGGCCUUGUACACACCGCCCGUCACACCAUGGGAGCCGACAACGCCCGAAGUCAGUGACCUAACCGAGAGGGAGGAGCUGCCGAAGGCGGGGUUGGUAACUGGGGUGAAGUCGUAACAAGGUACC